AAUACAUUAAAAUAAUGAAGAUAAUAAUAAAAAUGCUAAAAAGGGGACUAAAUCGAAAUAAAAGCAAACAAUACGGGGUGAAAUCAAAAUAAAAAAAAGGAGGGAUUGAUUUGAAUGUGCGAAUAACAUAGAGGGGCUGGAAGGGACAAUUUCCCUUCUCCUCUAAAACGCACAGCUUCAUUGAGGACCAAAUCGAGAGAAAAAUGAAAUUUUGUGGCAAAAUUGAAAAACAAAAACAAAAUAGGACCCAAUCGUAAACAGCCUCAAAAGCGGAAGGACCAGGAGCGCAAAUAACCCCUUUUAUCCAGAAACACGCGGAUCCUUGGCGGUUCGGGUCGGGUCGGUCCGAUCCAAGACAAAACGGCGUCGUUUUGGGCAUUUUGGAGAUGGGCCAAAACGGCGCCGUUUCACACUCCUAUAUAUUUCAAAAAUUUUCCAAAAAAUUUCAUUUCCCCCUCUUUUCAAAAAAAAAUCCGAAAAUUUUCUCUCUCUCCCCCUUUCUUCUCCCCAAAAUCCGGCCAAGCUUCCGGCGAGCCAACGCCGUAGCGUCACCAUGCCGGCCACCGUACACGGUGGCCGAAAAACAGAAAAGGUAUUUUUUUGCUCUUUCUCUUUAUAUUUUUUUUCUUUUUUGCAAAUGUAAACUGUUUUUCAAAAUAAAUAAAUAAAUAAAUAAAAAUAAAAAUAAACAACAAUAAAAAGAGAUAAAAAAAGAAAGAAAUGCAAAACGAAAAUCACCUUUGAUUUUUAUAUUUCUUGGUUUUGUGAAAUGUUACAAAAGAAACAAAAAAAAGAAUCCCCUUUUACAGUGUUCGGCUUUUGCCGAAAGAGAAAAAACUCCGAAAAAUAUCCCCCCAUUUCGGUUUACAAAUCAUUUUUAUACCCGAAAUAAAAUAAAAUAAAAAUAAAUUGAUCUUUGCUAUUGUCUCCUGUGCCUUUGCUUGUUUCUCUCUGUUUGGCAUCUGUUUUUGCAGGAGUAGGUGCGGCGUCAAAGGUAGGAGUGAACGGCGUCGGCGCUGAUGGGAUGUGCGGCGAUGGCAGAGCAGGGGUCAGAAUGGUACGGCGCAUGUGGAAGGGGCUAGGGUUCUGAAACCCUAGUCUUUGUUGGGUUUGGGCCAUAAUGUUUGGGCUUGUUUUGAAUCGGGUUAGUAUUUGGGUCUGGGUAAGUUUAGGUUUGUUUAGGCCCGAGCGAAAUUGGGCUUGUACACUACAUAUUCAAAUUUAAACUAGACAAAUAAAGGGAUUAGAUUUCAAAAUAUAAAGAAUAAAGGGAGUGAAGACAAAUUAAACCUUUUUCAUUAUUAUGAAUGAAACGAAAAAAUAAGAGCCAUGGAAAAGUCAUGGGGGAGGAGAAAAAGAAUUUCAUGUCGUUUGUCAAUUUUGUUUGAUGAGUGAAAUGCACGCGCCCUUAAUGGAGGGAAAUUUUUUUUUUCUUAUUGGCUGUUUUUUUUAUUAUCUAAAGG
This 1463-nucleotide long non-coding RNA is filed under the name Gossypium barbadense (sea-island cotton). RNAcentral's name for it is "long non-coding RNA (GBAR_LNC018917)". Lineage: Eukaryota; Viridiplantae; Streptophyta; Magnoliopsida; Malvales; Malvaceae. The record is from RNAcentral.